This 253-nucleotide ribosomal RNA is filed under the name uncultured bacterium. RNAcentral describes it as "partial 16S ribosomal RNA". It matches the Rfam family "Bacterial small subunit ribosomal RNA", at positions 524 to 776 of the family's 1533-position model. The record is from RNAcentral.
UACGGAGAGGGCUAGCGUUGUUCGGAAUUACUGGGCGUAAAGCGCACGUAGGCGGCUUUGUAAGUUAGAGGUGAAAGCCCGGGGCUCAACUCCGGAAUUGCCUUUAAGACUGCAUCGCUAGAAUUGUGGAGAGGUAAGUGGAAUUCCGAGUGUAGAGGUGAAAUUCGUAGAUAUUCGGAAGAACACCAGUGGCGAAGGCGGCCUGCUGGGCAGUUGCUGACACUGAGGCGCGACAGCGUGGGGAGCAAACAGG